RNAcentral lists this long non-coding RNA (2551 nucleotides) under Ornithorhynchus anatinus (platypus). Its description in RNAcentral is "lncRNA (ENSOANG00000046968.1)". Lineage: Eukaryota; Metazoa; Chordata; Mammalia; Monotremata; Ornithorhynchidae. The record is from RNAcentral.
CAGAUCUGAAAGUCAGAAAAACCUGGUUUCUAAUCCCAGCUCCAUCACUUGUCUGUCGUGGGACCUUGCGCGAGUGCAUUCACAUCACUGUGGCUCAGUUCCCUCCUGUGUAAAAUGUGGAUUGAGACUGUGAGCCCCAAACGGGACAGGGACUGCGUCCCUCCCGAUUUGCUUGUAUCCCUCCCAGCAAUUAGUACAGUGCCUGCCACAUAGUGAGUACUUCAAAAAUACAAUAAUAAUAUCUAUUAUUAUUACUGAUAAUAAUUAAAUGGGGAUUAAGAUUGUUAGUCCCAUGUGGGACAUAGACUGAUUAACUUGAAUCUCCCCUAUCACUGAACGCAGUCCGUGGCACACAGUGAGUGACUGACAGACACUAUUAAAAAAAAAUAGUGGAAAAUGAUUGGACUCCAGACCUCUUCUGAAGACAGUUUCACAGAAUCUCUCCAUUAUUAACAUCUCCCAUUAGACAGUUAUCAUGAAGUCAGUAGCUCAGAGAGAUGAAAGACCCUUGAGCGUUGAGCAAAUACUGUAGAUAGACUACACUUCAAUCCAGUUAACAGUGUGAGGGCUUCCUGUGUGUUCCCUUUGGAGGUUUGUGCAGUGAAGUUAUGUUCCGCCCUCAGCUUGUUCUGAACGACUGUCAUCGACUCACCAGAUCUGCAAUGUUUCUCACUGAGUUUCUCCCCAGGUGACAUAGAGUGGGUUGGCUUUUUCAUUUUCUCAUCCCUCCCUUGGUCUCCGGGCCCUGCAUCCUCCGCCGAAGACGCUGGAAAAUAGCUUUCCGGAACAGAAUCCAUGUCUACUUCCUGGCGGCUCCUGGCCGGGACUCUGGGCGUCCUGGCUCUGGCCCUCUUAGCGUCUGUGCUAGCACUGGGGAUCCUCAUGACAAACUGAACAAUGAUGGUGAGUAAUAAAAUCUUGGUCAUGUUUUUAGACUCUUCUGGCCAAAGACCCGAGAGCCCUUUCUCAGUUCCCAACACAACUCAAAAAGGCUGCUACUCUGGCUCUUGCCCAGAGAACUGGAUCUGGAACAGAGGCAACUGUUAUUACCUUUCUAGAGAAGACAAGAAUUGGUCAGAGAGUCAAACUGCCUGCAGGAGUAUGAAUUCCAGUCUCCUGAAGAUAGAAGACAGGGAGGAGUUGCAAGUGCAUUCUCUCAUAUGUGAAUUUCUAAUAGCUAUUUUGGGGGGUAAAAUUAUGGAUACUUACACUAUUUGUUGCAAAAAUCUGAUUAUUAUUAGUAGUAGUAUGGUAUUUGUUAAGCUCUUGCUAUAUGCUAACCGCUGUUCUAAGCGUUGAGGUAGAUACAAAUUUAAAAGUUUGGACUUGUCCCACAUGGGGCUCACACUCUUAAUCCCCAUUUUACGGACGAGGUAACUGAGACCCAGAGAAAUUAAGUCAUUUGCCCAAGGUCACACAGGAGAAAUGUGAUGGAGCCUGGAUUAGAGCCUGGGUCUUUCUGACUGGGAGGCCCAUGCUCUAUCCACUAAACCAUUCUGCUUUUCAUAAUAAUACUAAUAAUAAUGAUGGUAUUUAUCAAGCACUUACUAUGUACCAAGCACUGUUCUAAGCGCUGGGGUAGAUGCAAGGUUACCAGGUUGUCCCCGUGGGACCCCUAGUCUUAGUCCCCAUUUUACAGAUGAGUGAACUGAGGUACAGACCAGUGAGGUGACUUGCCCAAAGUCACACAGUGGUAGAGCUGGAAUUUAAACCCAUGACCUCUGAGUCCCAAGCCCGAGACUUUGCCACUAGGUCAUGCCAGGCACCCUGCCUUAUCGAGCGCUUACAGUGUGCAGAACACUACACUAAGCUCUUGGGAGGAAAAAAAUAUAACAGUGUGACAGAGACAUUCUCAAUUUUUGACACUUCCGACCUUCCACUGGUUAUCAGUGGGUUGGUUCAUAAAACUACCAAGAAGGUGCCAGUUCUCAGGUAAAGAAAGAGGGAGAAAUCUUUGUCCUUCACCCGUAACAGAGGGAUAGUCUAAGAAUCAAUGAAGCAUUGGAAAGGGUGACUUAAUUCACAUUACCCUUCCUGAACGGAAGGCUGGCUUUGUCGGCAAUAAUUGUGAGGCAAUGAAGAUAUUGCCCUAAAAACAUGGAGCAUGACGAGAACAGAAGACUACUCACAUUCAUCAUCAGACUUGGCUAUCCUUCUUCAUUCUGCUCCUACUAAUUGUCAAUAUGGUUUGUGUGCCUACUGCAUACAACAGGUUAAAAAAUGUAAAACAUUAUUUCCCUUUUACUCAAGAGCUUUUUAUAGAUCUCUCUAUUGGUAAUAUUCAAUAAAUACCAAAGAUUGACUGAUGAAUGGAGAAUCACUGUGAAGAGUAGCCCGGGGUGUCGUUAUAUCCUGGCUAGACUACUGUGUGAGCCUUCUUUCUGAUCUCCCUUCCUCCUCUCUUGCCCCGCUCCAGUCUAUUCUUCACUCCGCUGCCCGGCUCAUCUUCCUGCAAAAACAUUCUGGGCAUGUCACUCCCCUUCUUAAACACCUCCAGUGGUUGCCUAUCAACCUCUGCUCAAAACCAAAACUCCUCACUCCAGGCUUCAAG